CCCUUAGAUGUUCUGGGCCGCACGCGUGCUACACUGAGUGGAUCAGCGGGUCAGGUUGCGCGAAAGUGUUUCCUAAUCUUUAAAUCCGCUCGUGAUGGGGAUUGACGGUUGCAAUUUUCCGUCAUGAACGGGGAAUACCUUGUAAGCGCGGGUCAUCAUCCCGCGCUGAAUACGUCCCUGCCCUUUGUACACACCGCCCGUCGCUCCUACCGAUUGAGUGGUCCGGUGAGGCUUUGGGAUCUGAGCGGAAAGAGCGUUUCGCUGUUUCUGCUCGGAAAACUCAGUCGAACCUUAUCAUUUAGAGGAAGGAGAAGUCGUAACA
RNAcentral lists this ribosomal RNA (322 nucleotides) under uncultured eukaryote. RNAcentral describes it as "partial 18S ribosomal RNA". It matches the Rfam family "Eukaryotic small subunit ribosomal RNA", at positions 1470 to 1796 of the family's 1831-position model. The record is from RNAcentral.